Molecule: ribosomal RNA, 1182 nt
Filed under: Gongronella sp. PDKB2
Lineage: Eukaryota; Fungi; Mucoromycota; Mucoromycetes; Mucorales; Cunninghamellaceae
Description: eukaryotic LSU rRNA
Rfam family: Eukaryotic large subunit ribosomal RNA (bases 541-1182)
Source: RNAcentral
GAUAAAAUUUCUCUUCUUUUCCUUUCUUUGAGGGAAUUGAAGGAAUCCACUGUGAUCUGUUUCGAGCUUUUUCAUUUGAAAAAGCUACAACCCGUUUUUUUCUUUGGAAACAAACGGGUGUGGGGCCUUUUAGGUCUCGCAAUUCAAUAUACUUUAUGAAAUUCUUGAUUGAUUCUUAAUUGAAACAAAAAACAACUUUCAACAAUGGAUCUCUCGGCUUACGCAUCGAUGAAGAACGCAGCGAAUCGCGAUAUGUAAUGUGAUCUGCAUUUAGUGAAUCAUCGAAUCUUUGAACGCAUCUUGCGCCCAAGGGUAAUCCUUUGGGCACGCCUGUUUCAGUGUUAUGUUAAACCCAAAAUCUCUUUUUUGGUGAUGUAACGUUGGGCUUGCCAAUCAUUUUUUUGAUCGGUCUUGCUUGGAAUGAUAUCAAUUCCAGUCGGAUCACCUUAUUCUUCAGAUCAGGCUUUGGUAGACUACCGAAAGUCGCGUUUGAACGGAUUUAGGCCCGAAUUGAUGGGAUUUUUAAACAUUUUCAAUAUUUAACCUGAAAUCAGGCGGGACUACCCGCUGAACUUAAGCAUAUCAAUAAGCGGAGGAAAAGAAAAUAACAAUGAUUCCCCUAGUAACGGCGAGUGAAGAGGGAAAAGCUCAAGUUUGGAAGCUUCGUGGCAUAGCUACGACGCGUUGUAAACUGAAGUUUUUUGGGUGAUUGGGCGACCGGAUAAAUAAGUCCUUUGGAAAGGGGCAACAUAGAGGGUGACAUUCCCGUCUUUGGUCCGAGUCAGUGCAGUCGCUGCCCAGGAAACGACGAGUCAGGUUGUUUGGGAAUGCAGCCUAAAAUGGGAGGUAAAUCUCUCCUAAAGCUAAAUACUGGCGUAAGACCGAUAGCGAACAAGUACCGUGAGGGAAAGAUGAAAAGGACUUUGAAAAGAGGGUCAAAUAGUACGUGAAAUUGUUGAAAGGGAACCGUAUGAAAGUAGACUGGCUUGGUGAUGAUCAAUGUGUGUUUCGGCACGCAUGCACUCAUUGCCUUAGCCAGCCAGCGGCAGUUUUUGCUAAAGGAAGAAAAUCAGGGGAAUGUAGCUUCGAUUUCGGUUGAAGUGUUAUAGCUCCUGGUAAAAUACUUUGGCAGAGACUGAGGCUAGCAGCGGAUCUUUGGGAACUUUGCGCGCUUGUCGUCCA